UUGGAGGGCAAGUCUGGUGCCAGCAGCCGCGGUAAUUCCAGCUCCAAUAGCGUAUAUUAAAGUUGUUGCAGUUAAAAAGCUCGUAGUUGAAUUUCGGGGUUCUACCGUUGGUCGGGCUUUGUCUGUACUGGUGUGUAGAAUUUCUACCUUCUGGGGAACCAUCAUGCUAUUAAUUUAGCGUGGUGGGAAACCAGGACCUUUACCUUGAAAAAAUUAGUGUGUUCAAAGCAGGCUUAUGUCUGAAUACAUUAGCGUGGAAUAAUAGAAUAGGACGGUGGUCCUGUUUGGUUGGUUUCUGAAUCACCGUAAUGAUUAAUAGGGAUAGUUGGGGGCAUUAGUAUUCAAUUGUCAGAGGUGAAAUUCUUGGAUUUAUUGAAGACUAACUUCUGCGAAAGCAUUUGCCAAGGAUGUUUUCAUUAAUCAAGAACGAAAGUUAGGGGAUCGAAGACGAUCAGAUACCGUCGUAGUCUUAACCAUAAACUAUGCCGACUAGGGAUCGGACGAUGUUAAUUUUUCUUGACUCGUUCGGCGCCUUACGGGAAAC
RNAcentral lists this ribosomal RNA (544 nucleotides) under uncultured Glomeromycotina. Its description in RNAcentral is "SSU rRNA". It matches the Rfam family "Eukaryotic small subunit ribosomal RNA", at positions 548 to 1098 of the family's 1831-position model. The record is from RNAcentral. Lineage: Eukaryota; Fungi; Glomeromycota.